Rhododendron vialii is the source of this 939-nucleotide long non-coding RNA. RefSeq lists it as uncharacterized. Lineage: Eukaryota; Viridiplantae; Streptophyta; Magnoliopsida; Ericales; Ericaceae. The transcript has 2 exons. The record is from RefSeq and is a predicted model, not a curated record.
AAAUGAAGCGUGUUUCCAUUUCACGCUUUUCAAAUGCGGCGGCCAAAAGCGAAAAAAGCACGCUGAGAAGCCAAACGCGUCUGUGAUUCACGCAUCUUCUUCUCACACGAAAACACAGGGCUCCAACGGAACUUAUUACGGAGAACACCGAGCACCGGACUCGACUCUCAGAUCAUCUGAUCAGGCAACAAUUCCUCAUCCAAAGUAUUUUUCCCUUCAAACCAUUUCCCUCAAGGAAACGGCGCCAGCUGCUGCAAGUCAAGUCGGCGGGUGAGAAAUGAAGCAGAGAUUCGGAGGAGGGAGGCAGCCAACGGGCACUCCGUCGAUGGGGUGGUCGUGCGUCGUCGUCAUUGUUUCGCUUCUUUCUGGCGCCUCCGUCGUCCACAACAUCUUCAAGCCUAGUUUGACGUUGCCACCAUUGGAAGGUGCUCAUGGGGACCAUGGCAAGGAACCGUAAAAAGGGAUGAAUUUUGUGUCACCACUUGAUCAAAUUGUUGGGCUUUGUUAAGGUUAAUGCUUUAAUCUUCAAAUGGAAGAAAUAAAAAUUCCUUUCUAGUCCAUAUGUUGGGGUCCAUUUGACCAUUAGUAUCUUUUGUUUCUUUGAUAUGGGUCGGAGCCUAACUCUAUGUGGAUUCUCUGGAUUCAGGAUCAGUGAUCAUAAUUUUGAUUUCGUGAUUAGAGCCUGAUUACUAUGCUAGAUUCUUCAUUCACUGAUAGAAGUUAAUUAUCUUGUUCUUGUAAUUGAACGAGGGUUCAUUGAGUAGUGGAUUAUGAAAUGGAAUUGUUCAGUGACUACUUGCAUAGGAAUUUCUUCAAUCCGUUGCUAUAGAUGGUGAACUUCAUUUACCUUUUAGGCUUUGUUUAGGUAGAUGUGGAUUCAAAUGAAUGGGUUUGCCAUUAUUAUGCAAUUAAUGGAUACCUAUUGAAAUUCUUAUGGUU